CCCUUAGAUGUUCUGGGCCGCACGCGCGCUACACUGAGUGUCUGAGAUACGAGUCUGCCUGGUCCGGCAAGGUCUAGGUAAUCGCUAAAAGACACAUCAUGCUUGGGAUAGAUUAUUGCAAAUAUUAAUCUUGAACGAGGAAUUCCUAGUAAGCGCAAGUCAACAGCUUGCGUUGAUUACGUCCCUGUCCUUUGUACACACCGCCCGUCGCUACUACUGAUUGGAUGUUUAAGCGAGGUUCUCGAACUGCUAGCGACUUAGCUUCGGUGAGGUCGCAGUGUGGGAAGUGAACCUAGCUUUGGUGUCUAGAGGAAGUAAAAGUCGUAACA
This 329-nucleotide ribosomal RNA is filed under the name uncultured eukaryote. RNAcentral describes it as "partial 18S ribosomal RNA". It matches the Rfam family "Eukaryotic small subunit ribosomal RNA", at positions 1470 to 1796 of the family's 1831-position model. The record is from RNAcentral.